Long non-coding RNA from Cyprinus carpio (common carp), 4697 nucleotides. The record is from Ensembl. NCBI's taxonomy places the organism in Eukaryota, Metazoa, Chordata, Actinopteri, Cypriniformes, Cyprinidae.
ACGGACUAAAAGCUGUUUUGACAGCUUCUACACAAUGAGAAUGAUUUCUUUUUCUCUGUUAUAUGUAAUCUGUUAAUCUAGUAAUGUAAUGUAAUUUUGAUGAUUCAUAUUUAAAACACAAUUAUUUUAAUAGGAUCAAUCUUAGGACCGAUCUAGUUUCUCUAAUCCUAUGACUUUGGUCUCAACGGUUGGUAGUAAAAUGUCAACAACAUUUAAAUGGAAACUUUUGUGGCAUAUCUUUUUCAAUUUGUGGUUUUAUCUUUAAAAAAAAAAAAAAAAAAAAAAACACAAACAACUUAUCUUAUUAUAAUCUUGUUAUCAUAAGAUCAUUACAGGUUUUCAUACCAAAACAUGCUGGAAAAAGCUGUUAUAUCAUAUCUAUGACUAUAAUAAAUGGACGUGAGAUUUAUUUUUGAUGUAAUUAUAUAAAAAUGUAUAGUGUAGACAAGCAGUUUGUGGGUUAUUCAAAGCUUGACUAUUUUGGGGUUUGGGGUGAGAAGCGCGCACACACAUGCACACACUUCUUUGGCAGCUGACUAUGACCUCUUCUGCCCCACAAUCUAACAGAUUCAACCACACACACACCCUGGAACACACAUCCAAGUGUUUUUUGCUCCAGUUGCCUUCUUUAAUGACUUCAACAUGGGCCUUCAAACAUUUUUUAUUUUAGCAAUGGUUCUGAAUUUUGCUCACAGCAGGGACAUGCAAGAUUCAGAAACCAGAGACUUGGUUCUUCAACAAACAGUGACAGGGAUUUUGGGGGAAGAGGUCUACUUGCGUUGUCUGUACACUGGACAAAGUAGCAUAACGUUCUCCUCCUGGAACCGUAUCGAUUCUUCAAACAAGGCAAAGAAAAUGGCAGGCUACAAAUCCAAUGAGAACUCUUUCAAAAGAGAAAACUUUGACAUCCCAGCAUCAAUUACAAACCUUACUGUAAAGGUGAACGUGACAAGUUUUGAUCAAGAGGGAGAAUACACAUGUGUCUUUGACUCUGAUGAGGAUGAAACCAAGGAAACCAUGUUUCUUACUGUUAUUGCUCGGCCUGAUGUUGACAUAACUAUGAAAAAGGAAGUUGUGAAUGGGACUCUCUACCAUGCUGUCACUUGCUCUGCCUCCAGUGCCAAGCCUGAGGCUGUGAUUAGAUGGGAGAUCUCUGGUGCCCUUCCAAGAGAUGACAUCUUCUCUGUGAACUUGAUUAAUCCAGUUCAUCCCAAUGGCACAACCAGUUCAAUCAGUGUACUUCGCUUCCCCCUAAUUAUGAAUAAUGAGAGCACUGUUACCUGUGUGGUUGAGCAUCCAGCUUUUACUGAACCCAAAAGAGCCAAGAUAGAGGUGGACACAUUUGUUUCUCCUGUUAUAAGCAUGAAGACCGUCCUGGUCCAAAAAGGAGGAGAAGACUUUCAAGAGGUCAUCUGUACAGCAACAGGAGGGAGGCCACAUCCAAAUAUCACAUGGAUACUGCCUGAAUUCAAAAACACACCACCUUUACAGAGAAAUGUCUCCAAACCAGAUUCUGUUAUCAGUUCAUAUCAGUUCCCAUCAGAUCCUUAUGAAGGAGAAAAUAUCUCUUGUGUAUUUAGCUAUGCGUUUCUCCCAUUCAUAAACACAAGCACAAUCACUUUGCCAAUUUACUAUCUUUCCUCACUUCAGCUGAAGAACUUGGAUUAUGCCAUUAACAGUGAGAACCAGACUUCAUUGUCACUUGUGGAGGGUGGCAUGGACAUUACAAUCAGGAUGGAUGUUUUAGGCAAUGUACCAAGUUAUAAAGUGAAAUGUUCCAGGGAAGGCCAACCACUACCUGAGGAUGUGGAUUUGGUUGGCAACAGUCUCUUAGUCAGAGGACCUGUUGAGCUGCACCUUGCUGGACAAUAUCUCUGCCAGGCCUCUUACCGUAGACAUCAAGUUUCCCUGCAGUUUACAAUUAAAGUAAAUCCAAAAGUCCUACUGCCAGUGACAUUUCCCCCAAAUAUCAGCGUGAAUUAUGUAGAGAAUUCAGACUACAUUCACAUUGAGUGUUUGGCCUCCAAUGCUGUACCUGCUGCAAAUGUGUCCUGGGUUCUUUCAAAAGAGAUUAAUAGUACAAUUCAGUCUGAAGAAACACACUAUAAUGGAUCUAAUUCUGUCAGAAGUGUGUUGACUGUGCCUAGCUGCAUGACCCGCAGAUAUGUAAUUGAGUGUGUAGUCGACCAUCCUGACUUCACGGAAGAAGAGAGGCGGCAGAUUGCUCUUCCUGUGUGUGCACCACCGAAUAUUACCCUGCAGUCUAGUGUUGAAUGGGACAGUGGCAUUGCUUACGCAUCACUGGUGUGUUCAGUGCAGAGCCAGACCCCAGCAGCGGCCAUCACCUGGGCUGUAGAGUGCCAUGGCAUUAAUAAUAACUCUAGUGAACUUGUAAUGACUCAACCUGAGCUUCAGCAGAGUCAUAUGGUUGUCGCUCAGAGCGUGGCACAUAUUCCUAUUUACUCACAUGCCGGAUGCACUGUGACCUGUGUGGUUGAGCAUCAAGGGUUAGAGAAACCAGAGAACAAGAGCAUCGUCCUCCCAUCCUUAGGGCCGUCUGUAAGCCGUGCGUUUCUGGGUGAAGAGAGUUACACUCUUAUUUGGCAUGCUGUGUGUGAGUACAGCGGCGAUGGGGUGAAACCCAACAUCUCCUGGGUCUUUCCCGAUGAAGACACUGUAAUACUGGUGACUACUGAAUCCAGAUAUGAUGGAAUCAAAGUAGAAGUCAAUUUAACUCAUGAAUUUCAACUCAGUCAGUAUGAGGGGAAAGAUUUGAUAUGUCUGAUCCAGAACAAGCUCGGCAGGGAUGAAAGACGGACAAUACAUGUUCCAAAAUACUCUAUCUCAUCUAUUGAGGUUUUAAACAAAACCACACUUGAUCGUAGAAGUCAUGGCCAGAAUGAGCAUCGUUUAGCACUGCAAGAAAACCUCUCGAAUCAGAAGAUACUUCUCAGAGCCCACGGCAAUGUUCCAUCGUACAAGACAACAUGUUACAGGGAGGACGGGUCAGCAGCUGACACAGAGGACAUGGCAUUAGUUUUUACAGUGCCGGUGUCUGAACUGGAUGCAGGAUUGUACAUAUGCCAAGUCUCGUACCAUCACCACACGGCUAAUGUUUUCAUUCGGGUGGAUGUAACUAGUGAUGAGACUCAACACAGUGAGUUUUCCACAUGUCAGGCCUAGAUUAUCAAUACUGAUAUUUAGAAGUGUGGUGAAUUGAUUUGUAAUGAAAGUUUGUUUUCCACAGUGAUAUUCAUCAUUAUUUGCUUCUCGUCAGCUGCUGCAAUCACCCUCAUCUUGAUUAUCAUUUUGGUUGUCCUCUGGUGAGUAGACUCGCUUUCUAACAAACUUAGGUUAAAUUCUACUGUUUUCUUUUUGGAUAUUACCAUACAGGUGAGAUCAGUGGAGGCAAACAGGAAGCAAGGUAGCUUACCUAGACCAAUGACAUGCAUCGUGUUCAUAAACAGGAUACAUGGUGGCUGGCAUAGAACAACACCGCAUCUACCACAUCUGUACUUUCAUGCGACAUAAACAGAUUCAUGUUCAUGUCUCAGCAGCGGAGAAUGGUGUCAAUUUAAAUUGCAUACGUAUCUGAGGCUUUGAUUUAAAAAAGAAAAAAAAAACCUUGACACGUAAAUUUCCUAUUGUUAUUUCUUUCUAGUAAAAGUGGGAGAAGUCACUCAUCAGAAAAUGGCCAAAAGGUAAACAAAGUGUUAUAUAAUCAUUUCAACAUUUUGUCCAGGAAAUAUCAAUGGCUCAUUUCAUUUUUUUUUUUUUUUCAAAAGAAAAACAGGACAGAGCGUGAGUCUCUAGCAGCUCUAAUGCAGGAUCCUCGCUGCGCAGAGAAGACGGUGAUUCCAAGCACGGCUGGGCCGCACUAUGCUGAGCUUGUGCACUAUUCCAUUGUUUUUGAUGCUAAAAGCACAGUGUGACACUCCUGUUGGGUUUUACGACUGUAAUAUAUCAGUUUUUGCACAUACUUGUGGAGUUUGUGGCAGCUUGAGUGCAUGCUUUUAAAAAGGGAACAUGCUUAAGAAAUUCAUUCAUUUUUAAUCAGACUGUUUUGCUGAUGAUAUAAUAUGUAAUGGAAAAAGAAAAUGGAAAUUUACUUAAAGUUUUCUCUACCCAGGCCAUCCAAGAUUUAGAUAAGUUUGUUUCUUUAUCAGAACAGAUGAAAGUGAUGUGACAUACAGCCAAGUAUGGUAACCCAUACUCGGAAUUCGUGCUCUGCUUUUAACCCAUCCAAAGUGCACACACACAGCAGUGAGCACACACACCCGGAGCAGUGGGCAGCCAUUUAUGCUGCGGCGCCCGGGGAGCAGUUGGGGGUUCGGUGCCUUGCUCAGGGGCACCUCAGUCAUGGUAUUGAAGGUGGAGAGAGCGCUGUACAUUCACUCCCCCCACCUACAAUUCCUACCGGCCCGAGACUCGAACUCACAAACCUUGGACUGCAAGUCCGAUUCUCUGACCAUUAGGCCACGACUUCCCUGAUUUGGAGAAAUUUAGCAUUGCAUUAGUUACUCACCAAUGGAUCCUCUGCAGUGAAUGGGUGCCAUCGGAAUGAGAGUCCAAACAGCUGAUAAAAACAUCCCAAUAAUUCACAAGUAAUCCAUAUGACUGUGAUCCAGUCUAUCAAUUAAAUCUUGUCAAUUGAAAAUCUGUGUGUUUUUAAUAAACACAUUAAUCAGGCUUCUCCA